CCCUUGAGGCGUGGCUUCCGGAGCUAACGCGUUAAAUCGACCGCCUGGGGAGUACGGCCGCAAGGUUAAAACUCAAAUGAAUUGACGGGGGCCCGCACAAGCGGUGGAGCAUGUGGUUUAAUUCGAUGCAACGCGAAGAACCUUACCUACUCUUGACAUCCAGAGAACUUAGCAGAGAUGCUUUGGUGCCUUCGGGAACUCUGAGACAGGUGCUGCAUGGCUGUCGUCAGCUCGUGUUGUGAAAUGUUGGGUUAAGUCCCGCAACGAGCGCAACCCUUAUCCUUUGUUGCCAGCGGUUCGGCCGGGAACUCAAAGGAGACUGCCAGUGAUAAACUGGAGGAAGGUGGGGAUGACGUCAAGUCAUCAUGGCCCUUACGAGUAGGGCUACACACGUGCUACAAUGGCAUAUACAAAGAGAAGCGACCUCGCGAGAGCAAGCGGACCUCAUAAAGUAUGUCGUAGUCCGGAUUGGAGUCUGCAACUCGACUCCAUGAAGUCGGAAUCGCUAGUAAUCGUAGAUCAGAAUGCUACGGUGAAUACGUUCCCGGGCCUUGUACACACCGCCCGUCACACCAUGGGAGUGGGUUGCAAAAGAAGUAGGUAGCUUAACCUUCGGGAGGGCGCUUACCACUUUGUGAUUCAUGACUGGGGUGAAGUCGUAACAAGGUAACC
Molecule: ribosomal RNA, 672 nt
Filed under: uncultured bacterium
Lineage: Bacteria
Description: bacterial SSU rRNA
Rfam family: Bacterial small subunit ribosomal RNA
Source: RNAcentral